This 549-nucleotide ribosomal RNA is filed under the name uncultured Glomeromycotina. RNAcentral describes it as "SSU rRNA". It matches the Rfam family "Eukaryotic small subunit ribosomal RNA", at positions 548 to 1098 of the family's 1831-position model. The record is from RNAcentral. Lineage: Eukaryota; Fungi; Glomeromycota.
UUGGAGGGCAAGUCUGGUGCCAGCAGCCGCGGUAAUUCCAGCUCCAAUAGCGUAUAUUAAAGUUGUUGCAGUUAAAAAGCUCGUAGUUGAAUUUCGGGAUCAGUACGCUGGUCAUGCCUUUGGUAUGCACUGGUGUCACUGGUUUCUCCCUUCUGAAGAUCCGUGAUGUCAUUAAUUUGGUGUCGCGGGGAAUCAGGACUGUUACUUUGAAAAAAUUAGAGUGUUUAAAGCAGGCUCACGCUUGAAUACAUUAGCAUGGAAUAAUGAAAUAGGACGUUUGACCCUAUUUUGUUGGUUUCUAGGAUCGACGUAAUGAUUAAUAGGGAUAGUUGGGGGCAUUAGUAUUCAAUUGUCAGAGGUGAAAUUCUUGGAUUUAUUGAAGACUAACUACUGCGAAAGCAUUUGCCAAGGAUGUUUUCACUAAUCAAGAACGAAAGUUAGGGGAUCGAAGACGAUCAGAUACCGUCGUAGUCUUAACCAUAAACUAUGCCGACUAGGGAUCGGAUGAUGUUAAUUUUAUAAUGACUCAUUCGGCGCCUUACGGGAAAC